GCCGACCUAGCUCAACUGGCAGAGCGCCAACCUUGUAAGUUGGAUGUUAGGGGUUCGAGUCCCCUGGUCGGCU
Molecule: transfer RNA, 73 nt
Filed under: Planctomycetota bacterium
Lineage: Bacteria; Pseudomonadati; Planctomycetota
Description: Planctomycetes bacterium (groundwater metagenome) tRNA-Thr
Rfam family: tRNA
About the family: Transfer RNA (tRNA) molecules are approximately 80 nucleotides in length. Their secondary structure includes four short double-helical elements and three loops (D, anti-codon, and T loops). Further hydrogen bonds mediate the characteristic L-shaped molecular structure. tRNAs have two regions of fundamental functional importance: the anti-codon, which is responsible for specific mRNA codon recognition, and the 3' end, to which the tRNAs corresponding amino acid is attached (by aminoacyl-tRNA synthetases). tRNAs cope with the degeneracy of the genetic code in two manners: having more than one tRNA (with a specific anti-codon) for a particular amino acid; and 'wobble' base-pairing, i.e. permitting non-standard base-pairing at the 3rd anti-codon position.
Source: RNAcentral